Molecule: non-coding RNA, 751 nt
Filed under: Orthetrum glaucum
Lineage: Eukaryota; Metazoa; Arthropoda; Insecta; Odonata; Libellulidae
Source: RNAcentral
UUAAAGUUUUAUUCUUGCUAGGUUAUUCAUUAUAUAGUUGUAUCAUAUAUAAAUUUUAUUAAUAUUUAAUAUUCAUUAUUGUAGUGGUAAAUAUUAUUUUUCAGUUAAAGCUGGAUAUAGCAAUCUAUAUAUUUUCGGUAAAAAUCGUGCCAGCCACCGCGGUUAUACGUGAGAUAAAAGUGAAUAUUAUAGGGUUAGUAGUUAAAUAUUUUAUUUUCUUAGUUGUAAUAUUUUUAGGUGAAAUUUUAAUAUUAUUUUAAUGAUAAUUAUUGAAACUAUGAAAUUUAUUUUAUAAACAAGGAUUAGAUACCCUUUUAUUUUAAAUGUAAAUAUUAACCUGGGUAGUAAUAGUUAUGUUCUUGAAACCCAAAGAAUUUGGCGGUAUUUUAUUCUUUUUAGAGGAGCCUGUCCUGUAAUUGACAAUCCACGAUAGGUAAUUACUUGUUUUUGUUUUCAUUUUGUAUACCUCCGUCAUCAGAGUAUCUUUUUAGAGUAAAUAUUCAUAUAAUACAAAAUAUAAUAUGUCAGGUCAAGGUGCAAUUUAUAAGCAAGUAGAGAUGGGCUACAAUAAAUUUAUUUACACGAAUUGAUAUUAUUAUUUUAUCAUGAAGGUGGAUUUAAAAGUAAAAUUAAUCCUUUAUUAAUUUGACAUUAGCUCUAAAAUAUGCACACAUCGCCCGUCGCUCUUAUUUUAAAAUAAGAUAAGUCGUAACAUAGUAGGUGUACUGGAAAGUGUACCUAGAAAGUAAUA